CGCGUAGGCGGGCUCGCAAGUCCGGGGUGAAAGCCCCCAGCUCAACUGGGAAGCGCCUUGGAUACUUCGGGCCUGGAGGGAGGUAGGGGCGUGCGGAACUUCCGGUGGAGCGGUGAAAUGCGUAGAUAUCGGAAGGAACACCGGUGGCGAAAGCGGCGCGCUGGACCUCUUCUGACGCUGAGGCGCGAAAGCCAGGGGAGCAAAACG
RNAcentral lists this ribosomal RNA (207 nucleotides) under uncultured bacterium. Its description in RNAcentral is "partial 16S ribosomal RNA". It matches the Rfam family "Bacterial small subunit ribosomal RNA", at positions 568 to 775 of the family's 1533-position model. The record is from RNAcentral.